This 179-nucleotide ribosomal RNA is filed under the name Anaplasma phagocytophilum. RNAcentral's name for it is "partial 16S ribosomal RNA". It matches the Rfam family "Bacterial small subunit ribosomal RNA", at positions 397 to 592 of the family's 1533-position model. Lineage: Bacteria; Pseudomonadati; Pseudomonadota; Alphaproteobacteria; Rickettsiales; Anaplasmataceae. The record is from RNAcentral.
CCGCGUGAGUCGAGGAAGGCCUUAGGGUUGUUAAACUCUUUCAGUAGGGAAGAUAAUGACGGUACUUACAGAAGAAGUCCCGGCAAAUUCCGUGCCAGCAGCCGCGGUAAUACGGAGGCGGCAAGCGUUGUUCGGAAUUAUUGGGCGUAAAGGGCAUGUAGCGGGUUCGGUAAGUUAAA